Long non-coding RNA from Jatropha curcas, 824 nucleotides. RefSeq lists it as uncharacterized. The record is from RefSeq and is a predicted model, not a curated record. NCBI's taxonomy places the organism in Eukaryota, Viridiplantae, Streptophyta, Magnoliopsida, Malpighiales, Euphorbiaceae.
AGAGUUUCUUCUCCUAUUAGCGGCAACCUCCACCCCUCCCCCUCUCCCUUUCGCUUUUCCGGUCACCUGAAGCCAGCGCCAUCCCACCGCCUCCCGCCGCCGUUCCCUUGCCGCUCUCUCUCUCCCUCUCCUCUGUUAUCUCGGGCUAGCGGCUAGCGCAGCUGUCGCACGAAGCCUGCAACUUUGCUAAUCGGGAAAUCGCUUCGCCUCUCCAGCUCCAUUUUUUCGGCGACUCCAGUGCAAGCAGCCAACUCCGGCCUCUCUCUAGUCGACGGUGAAGCUCUAGCUCUCUUUCUCGCCGCUCUCUCUCCUUCCCGUCCAGGCUGGCGCAACAAACUAAGGAGCUGCAAGUUGCGAUCUUUUGCGAUCGGGACAGUCGACUCGCCGAUCUUCUUUGCUUUUCCCGGCGAAACUUGUCAAGGAUCGGCUGGUUGCACCUUCCAACGUCUCCAGCAAGUCCAUUGGCCACCGUUUUCCUUGGCUCCGGCUAAGCCACCUCCGGCAGAGUCAACCUUGAGUGUUGAAGCUAUUUCCGGUUAAUUUAACCGGAAAAUAACCAACUUCCCACAUAAUUUUCAACUAGGAAGUAGGAUUCCUGUAGGAUUUCUGUCGAGUCGUUUAAAGUUCUGCAACCUUCUUCGCAGAGCUAUAUAAGUAAAUUCCUAAUUUCUGUAAUUAACUAAUUUAUGUAUUGUUAUGUAUAAGAACUUUGCUACUUCUAGUUAUUAUUGCACUCCGCAGUUGUAGGAUUUAUAUACCUCUAAUCGUGUAGUAAAAUGGGUAUACUAUUCUAUGGACUUACAAAUGUCUUAAUCAUUUAUUUA